This is a long non-coding RNA of Entelurus aequoreus (snake pipefish), 602 nucleotides long. RefSeq lists it as uncharacterized. The transcript is spliced from 3 exons. The record is from RefSeq and is a predicted model, not a curated record. NCBI's taxonomy places the organism in Eukaryota, Metazoa, Chordata, Actinopteri, Syngnathiformes, Syngnathidae.
ACGGCGUGCUCGUGGGCGGGACUUCCGCCGGGGUCAAGGGGAGCACUUCCGGUCUAUGGCUGAUAGCAUUUAGCAAGCAACCGAUGUCUUUGGUUGCAAAAAUAUGCUAAACAUCGCGCUAAUAAGCCACCGGACAAUAUCGUGAAUAAUCAUAGCACAUGUAGUAUCAAAAAUAGGCUGUUUAUUUACAGAAAAUAGCGACUAGAGGAACGAAAGCGUCGCUCCUCGCCCAGGCCAGCUGGACUCGGUGUCAGGUCCAAGGGGUCCAAAUGAGGAAAAGCGAGAGCCGUAAGAGGAUUGGAGGCACUGGCUGAUUAGGUUUAUGGCCCCCCGGAUGUCUGGUGCCCAAUUUGGAGAUCCACAGGAGCUCUGCCCUGUGACGUUGGGCGAGGCUCCAUUUAGGAUCCGUCUCUACGACAGUCACCCGGACGGAAGACCAUCCGUGCAGGAGGAAAUGCUGAACCAGGUGAGUGUUGGUAUUUUUUUGUCUAACAAUGUUGUAUUUGUGCUGGGCGAAUCUCCUGGCUAAGGUAUUGCCCGUCUCGCCCACGUACAUACACCCACAUUGCUGACAACGGAUGACAUACACACAGUUCUGUGUG